GAGUUUGAUCCUGGCUCAGAACGUACGCUGGCGGCACGCCUAACACAUGCAAGUCGAACGAAGUAGCAAUACUUAGUGGCAGACGGGUGAGUAACAUGUGGGUAUCUACCCUUUGGCCUGGAAUAACACGAGGAAACUUGUGCUAAUACCGGAUAAGUCUUUACGGAGAAAGCUUUAUGCACCAUUGGAUGAGCCCGCACUUGAUUAGUUUGUUGGUAGGGUAAUGGCCUACCAAGACUAUGAUCAAUAGCUGAUUUGAGAGGAUGAUCAGCCACAUUGGGACUGAGACACGGCCCAAACUCCUACGGGAGGCAGCAGUGGGGAAUCUUGCACAAUGGAGGAAACUCUGAUGCAGCGAUGCCGCGUGAGUGAAGAGGGCCCUUGGGUUGUAAAGCUCUUUCGUCGGGGAAGAAAAUGACUGUACCCGAAUAAGAAGGUCCGGCUAACUUCGUGCCAGCAGCCGCGGUAAUACGAAGGGACCUAGCGUAGUUCGGAAUUACUGGGCUUAAAGAGUUCGUAGGUGGUUGAAAAAGUUGGUGGUGAAAUCCCAGAGCUUAACUCUGGAACUGCCAUCAAAACUUUUCAGCUAGAGUAUGAUAGAGGAAAGCAGAAUUUCUAGUGUAGAGGUGAAAUUCGUAGAUAUUAGAAAGAAUACCAAUUGCGAAGGCAGCUUUCUGGAUCAUUACUGACACUGAGGAACGAAAGCAUGGGUAGCGAACAGGAUUAGAUACCCUGGUAGUCCACGCCGUAAACGAUGUCUACUAGCCGUUGGGAGACUUGAUCUCUUAGUGGCGCAGUUAACGCGAUAAGUAGACCGCCUGGGGAGUACGGCCGCAAGGUUAAAACUCAAAUGAAUUGACGGGGGCCCGCACAAGCGGUGGAGCAUGUGGUUUAAUUCGACGCAACGCGAAGAACCUUACCAGGUCUUGACAUCCUAGAAACUUAGCAGAGAUGCUUUGGUGCCUUCGGGAAUCUAGUGACAGGUGCUGCAUGGCUGUCGUCAGCUCGUGUCGUGAGAUGUUGGGUUAAGUCCCGUAACGAGCGCAACCCUUGUCCUUAGUUGCCAGCACGUAAUGGUGGGAACUCUAAGGAGACUGCCGGUGACAAACCGGAGGAAGGUGGGGACGACGUCAAGUCAUCAUGGCCCUUACGACCUGGGCUACACACGUGCUACAAUGGCCAGUACAGAGGGCCGCAAACCCGCGAGGGGGAGCCAAUCUCAGAAAGCCGGUCGUAGUCCGGAUUGUUGUCUGCAACUCGACAGCAUGAAGUCGGAAUCGCUAGUAAUCGCGGAUCAGCAUGUCGCGGUGAAUACGUUCCCGGGCCUUGUACACACCGCCCGUCACACCAUGGGAGUGGGUUUUACCAGAAGUAGUUAGUCUAUCCGCAAGGGGGACGAUUACCACGGUAGGAUUCAUGACUGGGGUGAAGUCGUAACAAGGUAACC
This 1447-nucleotide ribosomal RNA is filed under the name uncultured marine bacterium. RNAcentral describes it as "16S ribosomal RNA". It matches the Rfam family "Bacterial small subunit ribosomal RNA". The record is from RNAcentral.